This 416-nucleotide ribosomal RNA is filed under the name uncultured phototrophic eukaryote. RNAcentral describes it as "bacterial SSU rRNA". It matches the Rfam family "Bacterial small subunit ribosomal RNA", at positions 60 to 525 of the family's 1533-position model. The record is from RNAcentral.
AGUCGUACGAGAGUUUUUAACUCAAGUGGCGGACGGGUGAGUAACACGUAAGAAUUUGCCUUUAGGAGGGGGACAACAACUGGAAACGGUUGCUAAUACCCCUAUGCUUUCGAGUGAAAUGGAUUUUUCCGCCUAGAGAGAAGCUUGCGGCUGAUUAGCUUGUUGGUGAGGUAAUGGCUCACCAAGGCGACGAUCAGUAUCUGGUUUGAGAGGACGAUCAGACACACUGGAACUGAGACACGGUCCAGACUCCUACGCAGCAGUGGGGAAUUUCCGCAUGGGCGAAAGCCUGACGGAGCAAUACCGCGUGAGGAUGACGCCUAUGGGUUGUAAACCUCUUUUUUCAGGGAGGAAUAAAAUGACGUGUACCUGAAGAAUAAGCAUCGGCUAACUCCGUGCCAGCAGCCGCGGUAAGA